GCCAGGCGCGGUGGCACGUGCCUGUAAUCCCAGCUACUCAGGAGGCUGAGGUGGGAGGAUCACUUGAGCCCGGGAGUUCUGGGCUGUAGUGCACUAUGCCGAUUGGUUGUCCGCACUAAGUUUGGCAUCAAUAUGGUGACCUCUCGGGAGUAGGGGACCACCAGAUUGCCUAAGGAGGGGUGAAUCGGACCAUGUCAGAAACAGAGCAGGUCAAAACUCUCAUGCUGAUCAGUAGUGGGAUCGCACCUGUGAAUAGCCACUGCACUCCAGCCUGGGCAACAUAGAGACCCUGUCUCA
RNAcentral lists this signal recognition particle RNA (297 nucleotides) under Aotus nancymaae (Ma's night monkey). RNAcentral describes it as "Metazoan signal recognition particle RNA (ENSANAG00000009473.1)". It matches the Rfam family "Metazoan signal recognition particle RNA". From Rfam's summary of the family: The signal recognition particle (SRP) is a universally conserved ribonucleoprotein. The record is from RNAcentral. Lineage: Eukaryota; Metazoa; Chordata; Mammalia; Primates; Aotidae.